GAUGAACGCUGGCGGCGUGCCUAAUACAUGCAAGUCGAGCGAACGGACGAGAAGCUUGCUUCUCUGAUGUUAGCGGCGGACGGGUGAGUAACACGUGGAUAACCUACCUAUAAGACUGGGAUAACUUCGGGAAACCGGAGCUAAUACCGGAUAAUAUUUUGAACCGCAUGGUUCAAAAGUGAAAGACGGUCUUGCUGUCACUUAUAGAUGGAUCCGCGCUGCAUUAGCUAGUUGGUAAGGUAACGGCUUACCAAGGCAACGAUGCAUAGCCGACCUGAGAGGGGGAUCGGCCACACUGGAACUGAGACACGGACCAGACUCCUACGGGAGGCAGCAGUAGGGAAUCUUCCGCAAUGGGCGAAAGCCUGACGGAGCACGCCGCGUGAGUGAUGAAGGUCUUCGGAUCGUAAAACUCUGUUAUUAGGGAAGAACAUAUGUGUAAGUAACUGUGCACAUCUUGACGGUACCUAAUCAGAAAGCCACGGCUAACUACGUG
Molecule: ribosomal RNA, 496 nt
Filed under: uncultured bacterium
Lineage: Bacteria
Description: partial 16S ribosomal RNA
Rfam family: Bacterial small subunit ribosomal RNA
Source: RNAcentral